GACAGAGGGUGCAACCGUUGCUCGGAAUCACUGGGCGUAAAGGGCGUGUAGGCGGGAAUGUAAGUCGGGCGUGAAAUCCCUAGGCUCAACCUAGGAACUGCACUCGAAACUGCGUUUCUUGAGUGCCGGAGAGGAAAGCGGAAUUCCUGGUGUAGAGGUGAAAUUCGUAGAUAUCCGGAGGAACACCGGUGGCGAAGGCGGCUUCCUGGACCGACACUGACGCUGAGGCGCGAAAGCUAGGGGAGCAAACGGG
RNAcentral lists this ribosomal RNA (253 nucleotides) under uncultured bacterium. RNAcentral describes it as "partial 16S ribosomal RNA". It matches the Rfam family "Bacterial small subunit ribosomal RNA", at positions 524 to 776 of the family's 1533-position model. The record is from RNAcentral.